CGUUGCGGGCGAAAGCACUAAGUGGUACCUAUUGGAAAAUCCUUCGCCUCUGCCCGAGUCCCCACCAGGAGCUGUUAUGUCAUUCAAACUUCUAAUCGAUACGAUUGUUCAAAUGGGCACAAUCAGUUCACGAUUAUACAAGUUUGCUUCUCUUCAGUUUCAAGUGAUCCGGAAAGGAGUAAACAAUCGGAGUGCAGAAAAGUUUUAUGAAAAACUGGAUAGUUAAAACAAAUCCAAUAGAUGGAACGGUCGAAAAUUGUCCAAAGCUGCUCCGGGACCAACCAAAAUUUCCAACAAUCAGCCUGCAUGCUCAAAAGAAGAUGAUGUUUCGUGCUUCAUAUGCAAGUGUCGAAAAAUCAUCUAAAUACGGUCGAAAAAUGAAGUUGAAUUUUAAUUAUGUCCUCAGCCAGCCGUGAUGCUAUUUUCGGCUAAAUUAUAAAGUUUUUUGGUAAGGAGGCUGGAAUUAAUAAGUGCUUGCCGUGACUCUAAUAUGUGGAUGGUUAUCGAUAUUUCGAUAGAAUCGACAUUUGGUUCAGGCAUUUGAACAUAUGUAUCUGAGAGCGGAAAAAGUCAAUUCUACCCAAAGGUCGAACGAUGAAAAGGCCCCAGACAUGAAAUCAUUCGAACAGACGUUGGAAUUUUGCGUUGGAAAGAAACCUUUGAAAAUCGUAAAUUCUCUAGGAAUGAAAAAGUUUGUCCACCGUUACUGGGAUUGGAACUGUACUUCCUGCUUCACAACCGUAAAGGAUCAAUCACUGUGACUAAAGCUACAAAUUAGAAUCCAGCUAGGUGCGAAAGAUAGUUGUAUACAAGAAAAUUCAAGAACUAAACUUGAACUUCGAUUGCAUUAGGCGCAGUUGCCCAACGUGUAAUGAAAGAACGUUUUUUCACCUUCAAAAUCCAUGGAAUCGACUGGUUUAGGAGAAAAUUUGUUGUAACUUAAGGUUCCUUGGCUUUGAGCGAAUUUGAUUGUUCCCAUUGUU
Long non-coding RNA from Uranotaenia lowii, 983 nucleotides. RefSeq lists it as uncharacterized. NCBI's taxonomy places the organism in Eukaryota, Metazoa, Arthropoda, Insecta, Diptera, Culicidae. The transcript is spliced from 3 exons. The record is from RefSeq and is a predicted model, not a curated record.